This 253-nucleotide ribosomal RNA is filed under the name uncultured bacterium. RNAcentral's name for it is "partial 16S ribosomal RNA". It matches the Rfam family "Bacterial small subunit ribosomal RNA", at positions 524 to 776 of the family's 1533-position model. The record is from RNAcentral.
UACGUAGGGUGCGAGCGUUAAUCGGAAUUACUGGGCGUAAAGCGUGCGCAGGCGGUUUUGUAAGCCAGAUGUGAAAUCCCCGGGCUUAACCUGGGAAUGGCAUUUGGGACUGCAAGGCUCGAGUGCGGCAGAGGAGACUGGAAUUCCUGGUGUAGCAGUGAAAUGCGUAGAUAUCUGGAGGAACACCGGUGGCGAAGGCGGCGUCCUGGACCAACACUGACACUGAGGAGCGAAAGCCAGGGGAGCAAACGGG